ACAGUUGUGCUCUGCUGGGUUUUUGC
RNAcentral lists this non-coding RNA (26 nucleotides) under Rattus norvegicus (Norway rat). Lineage: Eukaryota; Metazoa; Chordata; Mammalia; Rodentia; Muridae. The record is from RNAcentral.